GAGUGGGUCCAGGACUUACACCUGCAAACUUCCUGUUUCUUGGGUUGAGGUGACCUUCAUGGAAAUUAACGAGACUUAAUGUGUUUUGAAAAAGUCCUCUGGAUAGUGGGUCCAGGACUCAUGCGCCUGCAAACCUCCUGUUUCUUGGUGAUUACCAUAGAAAAGAUGUAUACCACUCCCACGAGGAAAGAACGACUAUCCUUGAUUAUAUUAUCCAUCCCUACAGCUAACUUCCAUUGAUGAUGGCUGCCAUCCCUAAAGCUAACUUCCAUUAAUGAUGGCAGCUGUCCCAACAGCUAACUUCUAUUAACAAUAGUCGCCGCCCCAUCAACUACCACACCUUCCACAGUUGAAGGCCACCAUUUAAGGGUCAAACAUUUACAGGGUAUCUUGAUUCAGUGCAUCAUAUAUAAUAUAGUGCUUUCAGGUUUAUUUAUGAAUACCGUAAUUACAUGUAUUUAUACAGUAAUUUAUCUAAUUAACUGAUCUCUCGUUAAUAGGUUUUCUAAUUAAUAGAUGGAAAUACUGUACUUUACCCAAAUAUUAAUAACAAUACAUUAGGCCCAGCAUCACUUCAUUUCAUAUGAUGCUAAGACCACAGGACCCUGCAUGCUGGUGGGCCAGAGUCCAUUGCAACGUGCUGACUGGUUGACUCGGAAUGUAAGGAGAAUAACCAGUUCACAGAAUCCUCAGCCCCAAUUUUAGCUGCCUUGUUUGUAUUGUGAUUCUAAUAUAUGUUUGUGCAAGUAGUAAUAAUCUUUUAGUUACAAUAGACUAAUUAUAGAAGAGUAUCAUAAAUAGGGGUAGCUUUAAAUGAGUGAAGAAACACUGCCCCCUUGCACCAACUAACGAUUCAUUCUACUUGUACUGUUACUCGUUUUUCCUAAUUAUCUCAAUUAAAAAACAAAGUUAACACUAAACUACAAUUAAAUAAUCAGUUUCAACAGCAAUCCAAAGUUAGCUAACAAAUAUAAGUACAUGGACAAUCCUGCGGCAAAUACGCUAACUAACGGUGAUACCUUCAUGCUAGUGAUUACUCAAGUGGGAAAAAUAUUAAGUGCAUCAUUCCACUUUAUACAAUAUCAGGUAAACAGCUAUCGUGAAACAAAGAGAAAUAGGAAGGAAAUGUCACUGAAAUAUGACUUCUGACUCUUUUUUUUGGACUACAUUUCAGUAGUAGUAGUAUGCAUAAACCCAAACUGAGAUGUUUCACGAAUAAUGUAUCUGUCCACAAGUUCCUGAUAUACCACAAGAUGCAAAAUGGAUAAGAAAUACAAAUUACAAAACUGACUUUUAAUGCUAGGAAUGAUCAUACAUCAUGACAUAUUACUUUUGUUCCCAUUGUAGAAAACUUGUACAUGAUUAGUCUUGCCAUUCUAUUAAAGUAAUGCUAAUUAUAAUCCCUACACUGUUAGUUGUCUUGAAGCAUAUAACUCUCAAAUUCAUGUGUUCAAUGGGUAUGGUAGGUGCUUGCAACAAUAGAGCUUUAGCAAUCUAACUUGGGACACUGUGAUGAGAGGCACACACACACCAAACACCACCAUAUUAGACACUGGGCAUGAUAAGAAUUAAGAGGAAUUGUCUUUCGAUUAUAAAUGUUUACAAUGUGUGUUCGGUCCCCCUACGGCAGAUCCCCAGGGCUUUUCGUUGCUAUGUGGUGAUGAUUCGAUGUGACGGAGGGGGGGUGUUAAUGGUGAUUUAACGUCGUAAUUAAUGGUUUCUUUUACGAUAUGUGAUUUAUGAUUUGUUUAUUUUCUUUGCCACUUGCGCUCUGUUGGCAAGUA
This 1784-nucleotide long non-coding RNA is filed under the name Homarus americanus (American lobster). Its description in RNAcentral is "uncharacterized LOC121864951". Lineage: Eukaryota; Metazoa; Arthropoda; Malacostraca; Decapoda; Nephropidae. The record is from RNAcentral.